This 503-nucleotide ribosomal RNA is filed under the name uncultured bacterium. Its description in RNAcentral is "partial 16S ribosomal RNA". It matches the Rfam family "Bacterial small subunit ribosomal RNA", at positions 29 to 523 of the family's 1533-position model. The record is from RNAcentral.
AUUGAACGCUGGCGGCACGCCUAACACUGCAAGUCGAGCGGUAACAUGAUUUGUAGCAAUACAAAUUGAUGACGAGCGGCGGACGGGUGAGGAACACGUAGGAAUCUGCCCAGAAGCGGGGGACAACCAAGGGAAACUUUGGCUAAUACCGCGUAAUCUCGCAAGAGUAAAGCUGCCCGCAAGGGUGGCGCUUCUGGAGGAGCCUGCGUCCGAUUAGCUAGUUGGUGAGGUAAGAGCUCACCAAGGCGAUGAUCGGUAACCGGUCUGAGAGGCCGACAAGUCACACUGGGACUGAGACACGGCCCAGACUCCUACGGGAGGCAGCAGUGGGGAAUAUUGGACAAUGGGGGCAACCCUGAUCCAGCGAUGCCGCGUGGGUGAAGAAGGCCUUCGGGUUGUAAAGCCCCUUAGGUUGGGAAGAAGUGUACGGGGCGAAUAACCCCGUAUGUUGACGGUACCGACAAAAUAAGCACCGGCAAACUCUGUGCCAGCAGCCGCCGUAA